GGCCCUUGCAGGGUCGAGUAUGUAAUUAGCAGAGGGUGCUUUGGCGUCGGCCGUGGUCUAAGUUCCUUGGAACAGGACGUCACAGAGGGUGAGAAUCCCGUACGUGGCCGCCGGCCUUCGCCGUGUAAAGCCCCUUCGACGAGUCGAGUUGUUUGGGAAUGCAGCUCUAAAUGGGAGAUAAAUUUCUUCUAAAGCUAAAUACUGGCCAGAGACCGAUAGCGCACAAGUAGAGUGAUCGAAAGAUGAAAAGCACUUUGGAAAGAGAGUCAAAAAGCACGUGAAAUUGUUGAAAGGGAAGCGCUUGCAGCCAGACGUGCCCGCAGUUGCUCACCCGGGCUCUCGCCCGGGGCACUCUUCUGCGGGCAGGCCAGCAUCAGUUCGGGCGGUUGGAUAAAGGUCGCUUUCACGUAUUGCCCCUCGGGGUAACCUUAUAGAGGCGACGCAACACGGCCAGCCCGGACUGAGGACCGCGCAUCAGCUAGGAUGCUGGCGUAAUGGCUGUAAGCGGCCCGUCUUGAAACACGGACCAAGGAGUCUAACAUCUAUGCGAGUGUUUGGGUGUCAAGCCCGGGCGCGCAAUGAAAGUGAACGGAGGUGGGAACCCCUCGGGGCGCACCAUCGACCGAUCCUGAAGUCUUCGGAUGGAUUUGAGUAAGAGCAUAGCUGUUGGGACCCGAAAGAUGGUGAACUAUGCCUGAAUAGGGUGAAGCCAGGGGAAACCCUGGUGGAGGCUCGCAGCGGUUCUGACGUGCAAAUCGAUCGUCAAA
Molecule: ribosomal RNA, 767 nt
Filed under: Thyridariella mangrovei
Lineage: Eukaryota; Fungi; Ascomycota; Dothideomycetes; Pleosporales; Thyridariaceae
Description: eukaryotic LSU rRNA
Rfam family: Eukaryotic large subunit ribosomal RNA
Source: RNAcentral